ACAGUAGUAACAAAGUUUUAAUAGGUGAUACUAUAAAAGAAAUGCAAAUAAGCAAAACAAAUAAAAGUAAAGAGUUGUUACAAAACAAUAUAGAUUAUAAUUAUAUACAUGUUGAAGAAAAAAAAAAUAGAAAGAUUGUUAAUAUAAUUAAUAACCGUUCGAAUGGUGCAAUUAAAAAUGUAUAUACUAAUGGGAAGCAUAAUAAUGAUAAAAUUUAUAGUAAAGACCAUAGUAAUAAUAAUAACAGUAUUAAAGACAAAGUAGAUAAUAAAAAGAAUAUGGUUAUGAAUAAAUUAAAUAAUAUGAACUUAAGCAUAAGUAAUAAUAUUCCGUAUGAUGAAAAUAAUACCUUCAAUUUACUUUUAAAUAAUUCUAAAAAUAUAUUUAUGGCAUCACACAAUAGUAACAUAAAAAUGGAAUUAGAAAAAUUAAAAAAAAUUAUUAAUUUUUCGAAUAAUGUAAAUAAAAAUAAGCAAACAGGUAGACUUCAACAUGAACAGGGGGGGAAUAACAAAAAUGACAACAACAGUAAUAAAAAUAACAAUAGUAACAAAAAUAACAACAGUGACAACAGUAACGACAACAGCAGUAACGACAAUAACAAAUCGUGUACUAAUUAUACGAAUUAUGAUAUGAAAGCACAAGGUAAUAAAACAAAUUAUGCUCAUAAUUGUAUGGAACCCUAUAAAAAGUGUAAUGUUAUCACUCAGAACAAGCCUAAUUGUAUUAAUAAUAAAAAUAAAAACAAAGACAAUUGUAGCGAUGGUAGUACUGUCGGAAGUAGUGUAGAAAGUAGUUACGACAAGUUAAAUGUUAAUAAGGAUAAUAAAAAUUUAUACAACAUUAUUAAACGUAAUAACAAUGAUGAACAGAAUGAAAGUAACACAAAAAAUAAAAAGAAAAACAAGAGUAACAAAGAUAACAAAAAUAGUCAAAAUGUAUACAUUGCCAACAAGAGUAACAAUUGUAAUAACAAAAAUGAUAAAAAGAGUAACAACACGUACAAAGAAAAAAAUAAUGGAAAAAAAAUAAACAAGGAUGUUUAUAAAAUAGUAGAUGGAAUUGAAAAUGAUAAUAGCAGUACCAAUGCUAAUGGUAACAGUAAUGACUAUAUUAUUAACGAGAAUGACAAUAAUAACAAGUUGAGUGAUAAAGAUAGCAAAGACAACAGUGUUGUUGAACAAGUUAGUGUAAAUAUAGAGGAAGAAUACGAAAAUAAAGAUAAACAAAGUUAUCAUAAAAGCAGUAAAAAAAACGAGCAGGUUAUCAGUCAAAAUUGUAAUAUUAUAGAACUUAACCAACUGAAACAACAAAAUCAACAUAAAAAUAUGAAUCGAAAAAAUAAAAAAAAUAAAAAAACUGAUAGUAACAAAAUUUCAAAUAAUACAAAAGCUGCUAAGAAUGAAAUGAAAAUGAAGAAUAUAUAUGCUUCUAAUGUGGACAACACUAGUAGUAACAACACUGUAGCUGCUUCAACAAACGGUAUUCCGUUUGGUAAAAAAAGUGGUAGUAAUAAUAAUGCAGUCAUUAUAAAUGUAUUAAAAAAUUAUGCAGCUAAUGAUAAUAAUUUAAAUGAUAACAAUAGAAAUAGCAAUAGCAAUGACAAUAGCAAUAGUAGUACUGAUUCAAAUUUGUUAAAAAAAAAAAAUUAUAUGAACGAAAUUGAUAUGUUGUUGCUUCAGGAAAAUAUGGACAUAUUAGAAAAACAAAAUUGUAUAAACAUAAACAAAUAUGGUGAUGGUUAUAAUAAUAAUAAUAGUGGAAAUAGCAACAGUGGAAAUAGCAACAACAGUAGUAAUGUAACAGCAGUUAGAGACAAUCUGAGUCUUAUGACAAACAUCAGUGAUGGGACAUACCCAAAUGAUCUAAAUUUAAAUUAUACGUUGAAUAUCCUAAAUAAUAAUCUUUAUAACAUUUUUAACAAUUCAUAUGAUAAAACCAAUAAUAACGAAUUUAUGAGUAUUUGUAAAGAUUUUACAAAUACAAAUAAAAUUAAUGAAAAUAUAAAUUUAUUGCAAAUGAAAGAGAGUGUAAACAACGACAUAAUGAUCAAUGAUAAUAUGUAUAAUAAAUUAAAUCAGACUACUACAAUUAAUGCUAACUUUGUAGGUUCAAACCAGCUGAAACAUUUACCUUAUAUGCAUGCAUCUUUACACGAAAAAAAAGAAGAAACAACAAAUAAAACAAAUCCAAGUGUACAUCAUCCAGGUUUUCAUCUAAGUGCAAGCACGGGUUCACACUCUAACACCGACACAAAUACAGACACACACUCGAACCACAUGAACGAUUUAUCAAAAAGUAAAUACAAAAUGACUGAUCCAAAUAGUAUGAACAAUAUAAUAAACAAAAAUUAUACGAAAACUUUUCCCAACAACACAAAUUUUUUACAUGAAACGAAAAAAAAUAUAAUUAAUAAAUACAAUACGAAACAUAAUAUACCGACUGAACAGACAGUUAAUGACAAAAUAAAUAUGAAUGUUGGUCGAAGCAUAGUUAUAAAUGGAGAUAAUAUAGUGAACAAUUUUAAUAAAAGUAUGAACAUAAAUAUGGUAAACAAUGGAAAUAAUGGUAUUAGAAGCGGUACUAGUGCCACGGUUAACGCAAGUACCAAUGUUAGUGACAAUUCGAAACAUCCAAACAAACACAAUA
This 2649-nucleotide long non-coding RNA is filed under the name Piliocolobus tephrosceles (Ugandan red Colobus). Its description in RNAcentral is "lncRNA (ENSPTEG00000001190.1)". The record is from RNAcentral. Lineage: Eukaryota; Metazoa; Chordata; Mammalia; Primates; Cercopithecidae.